UCUCCCAACAGGAGUGCCUGGCUCUUAGGUUACUCCACAUGCUGAAAACUUAUGACUAUGUGUACAUUAUUUGUUUCAGGAUUUAACAUUUUCUGCCUUUGAUUUUGCAUGCCAGUUCUUUCAUGAAUCAAGGUCCAUGUGUUGUAACUCUAGGACCAACCAUGGGCUAUGAGGACAACAGGGAAGUGCUGGGUAACCUAGUUGUUUAGGGCAAUAUAGUGACCACCAAUGUGACCUUCCCAGCCAGCCUGUCCAUAACACUAUGCCAGAGACUAAAUAUUGAAGAUAACACAGACAUAUCUAACCAUCAGACUCUGCCUACAAUCCCCUCAUCCAUCAAGUUGUUAAGGGAUGUCGAUCCAACAGUGUUUGCCAUCCAGAGAGGAGAUGCUCAAGCUGUGAAAGAGCUGUCAGUGACUGCACCACUCAGCCUGAUGAAAGAGAACAAAGAAGGAUUAAUACCUUUGCAUGAGGCUGCAUAUUGUGGCCAAGCUGAAUGCGUAAAGGCACUGCUGAAAGCUACACAUUGAAAGCAUCAUUUUUAUAGUCUUUAAAUGCAAAUCCUUGCCUUUUGUUAAUGGGGCUAAAUUAAAUUGGGGUUGAAUUAUAGACUGGAUGUUAAAGCAUGUUAAAGCAUUUUGUUUAUGUGUAUACUAUUUCCCCUCCAGCCCAACCAGGAUUAGUUGACAAGCGCACCCUCCAAGAACAGGCUGCUCUCCUCCUGUCAUUUUCCAGGCAGCAACUGUUCUGUGUUCAAUGCCUCCUACAGCCAGGGCCAGACCCUGACAUCAGCAACAAGAACAAAGAGACUCCCCUAUACAAAGGUGCUGACAUCAACAUGCAGACAUGUGACGGUGCUACAGCCCUGUGUGAGGCCAGUAAAAAUUGCCACAGGGAGAUAGUGGAGCUGCUACUUUCUCCCAACACAGACGGCAACAAACCCACCAAGACAGGACUCCUACCUCUACAUGUUGCUGCUCAGUGUGGACACCAUGAGUAUGUACGAGUGCACUGUGUUUCUCCUGUUGUGUCUCUCUUGUAUUACUCUUAUGUACAGUACUAAUGUCCCCUUGUUCCAGUAUUGUGUACCUGCUUGUCCCAGUCACUAAGUCGGGCCAGAGUUCACAAAGCGUGAUCACCCCCCUCGACCAGGCUGCAGAGCACAACCGGGACAUGGUCACAGCCAUAUUGCUCAGGACAGGUGCCGAUGUCAACGCCACACUAUCCCACAAUCGCUCCAUGCAGUAUUUGGAUCACUGCAUCACAGCACUCUACUUUUCCAUUUCCAAUGGAAGCACUAUUGCUGCCAUUCUACUAGCAGCUGUAAGACUGGGUUGUGCCAGGACUGUCUCCCUACUGCUGGAGCAUGGGGCUGAUAACACCAGCAUUCCAUUCUGUCACACCACCUUCCCUGGUGCUAUCAUACUCUGUAUGAAUAACCUACCUCUUCUCAAGUGCCUUUUGGUCAAUGGCUGUGAUAUCUGGGCCUACUUCAGAUGUGCAUAUGGUUGCAGCCCACACCCAGCCCAGGACAGCAUGGGCAGCAUAGUCAUCAACGUCAACACUGUACUUCCUACCAAUGACAUGUCUCUUUUAACCUGCACAUGACUUGUUGUCAGCAAAGUACAGUUUUGUGAGUUGAUCCCAUCACCAACUGUGUGCCAGACUCGCCGAGCUCCUGGAUGGACGGCAGGAAUGGCCCAGCAUCAAGUCCAAGUCAUUGUCAGCCCAUCCACUGAUGCACCUGUGCAGGCUAAGGAUCAGUGAGCAGAUGGGUGUGUCCAGACUCGGGUCUCUGGACAGCCUACCCCUCCCAGAGACUGCUGCAGUACCUCAGCCUGACCAGACACAGCUUUGAUGACUUCUGCCCUGAUGGCAAAUAAGGCUUGUCAGUGUUCCUGUGUGUUGUGCCUUAUAGUAUAUUACAUUACCAGUUUACAGGAUUUUUGAAACUGUAUUUAUGGGGUAGUGAUGAUUGGGGAAUGUGUGUGUUGUGUGCACAUACAGUGGAUGUGAGCUGCAAUUAACUCAAGGUAAGCAUAUAAAAUACCUGUCUUUCAGAUGUUUAGGCCGAGUCGAACAAAGGGAGACAAUCAAUGUGAGGCUUUAUGAAGUGUGCUUGCUUGGAUGGAAUUUACUUGUUGAUAUUCAGCACUGUAUUUGUAAAAUGUUUUGAAAGUGUGUUUUCAACAGACCUAGUGUAAUGAGUGUAUAUUAUAGUUGAGUUGUUGUUGUAACAUAUUGUAAAUGUCAGUGCCAAAAGGCUAUUGAAUGUGUUCGAACCAAAGAAAGAAAUCUAAAGAUCUACUGUUUAUUUAAAAAAUAAAUGUAAUUUCUCCA
Molecule: non-coding RNA, 2340 nt
Organism: Salmo salar (Atlantic salmon)
Lineage: Eukaryota; Metazoa; Chordata; Actinopteri; Salmoniformes; Salmonidae
Source: RefSeq, a predicted model, not a curated record